UUAAACUUUCUAUUUUAGCAAUAGAGGAAAAGUGAAUAAAGGAGCACUGAACAAAAUUCAGUUAUAUAGGCCCUCCUGUGUAUUGAAUGGUGUUGUCAUUCUAUAUUCUUUGGAGUUGUCUUGAAAGUGAGCUGAUUAGUUAGUUACAUACCUCUGUUCAAACCAAAGGUUUCUAGUUUACUGGAAGCAUUUUAAAUUUGUGGG
RNAcentral lists this unclassified non-coding RNA (204 nucleotides) under Hevea brasiliensis (rubber tree). The record is from RNAcentral. Lineage: Eukaryota; Viridiplantae; Streptophyta; Magnoliopsida; Malpighiales; Euphorbiaceae.